AUGUGCAGUGAGCCCAAUGAGCCCAAGGACAUCCUGAUCAGCUUUGAUGUGGUGUCCCUUUUUACCAAAGUCCCAGUAGCUGACACCCUCACACUAAUCAAACAAAACUUCCCAGAAGACAUCACAGCCCUGUUUCACCAUUGCCUCACCACUAGCUACUUUCAGUGGGACACUGGAUUCUAUGAACAGAAGGAUGGAGUGGCCAUGGGGAGCCCUCUCAGCCCAGUAGUAGCAAAUUUCUAUAUGGAAUACUUUGAAAAACAGGCCCUAGAAACAGCACCAAAAAAGCCAACUGUUUGGUUCAGAUACGUAGAUGACACCUUCACGAUUUGGAGCCAUGGAGAGGAAGAACUCAGCAAGUUCCUGGACCAUCUUAACAGCAUCCACCCAAACAUCCAAUUCACCAUGGAAAAAGAAAAGGAAGGAAAACUGCCAUUUCUAGAUGUUCUGGUCAUCCGCAAACCCAAUCAACAAUUGGGCCACACAGUUUACAGAAAACCUACACACACAGAUAGAUACCUUCAUAAAAACUCCAACCAUCACCCAAGUCAAAAAAGGAGCACAAUCAAAGCCCUGACAGACCGUGCACAAAGAAUCUGCGAACCUCACCUCCUCCAAGGUGAACUCAACCACCUAAACUGGGCUCUACAGGCCAAUGGAUACUCCACCACAGACAUCAGAAGAGCUGCAAGGCCAAGAACAAGCCAUGAGAGUCAAGACAAAGAUCCACCCAGAGGAAAGGUGUACUUACCAUACAUCAAGGGAACUACUGACCGCAUAGGGAAGCUGAUGAAGAAGCACAACCUACAAACUAUCUACAAACCCACGAAGAAAAUCCAACAAAUGCUACGGUCAGCGAAGGACAAGAGGGAUCCUCUCUCUUCUGCAGGAGUCUACCGGAUACCAUGCAGCUGUGGACAAGUCUACAUAGGGACCACCAAACGCAGCGCCCAAACAAGAGUCAAAGAACAUGAAAGGCACUGCAGACUAAUUCAACCAGAGAAAUCAGCCAUAGCAGAGCAUUUGAUGAACCAGCCUGGACACAGAAUACUAUUUGAGAACACAAAAAUGCUGGACCAUUCUAACAACUAUCAUGUCAGACUACACAGAGAAGCCAUUGAAAUCCACAAGCAUGUGGACAACUUCAACAGAAAGGAAGAAACCAUGAAAAUGAACAAAAUCUGGCUACCAGUAUUACAAAACUCAAAAAUCAGAACAGUAAAUAAAAAGCAAUACUCUGAAAACAGAGGGUUUCCAGACAUGAAUCAACCAAGGGCAGUUAACGACUCUAAACAAAGGAUGCCCCAGAGGCAGGAAGAAGACAGCAGAUAA
RNAcentral lists this long non-coding RNA (1332 nucleotides) under Anolis carolinensis (green anole). RNAcentral describes it as "lncRNA (ENSACAG00000029534.2)". Lineage: Eukaryota; Metazoa; Chordata; Lepidosauria; Squamata; Anolidae. The record is from RNAcentral.